Long non-coding RNA from Ruditapes philippinarum (Manila clam), 622 nucleotides. RefSeq lists it as uncharacterized. The transcript has 3 exons. The record is from RefSeq and is a predicted model, not a curated record. Lineage: Eukaryota; Metazoa; Mollusca; Bivalvia; Venerida; Veneridae.
CGAAAUAGUAAAAUUUUGAUAAAAAGGAACAUGAGGAAGUGAGUAGAACAGUUUUGUGUAAUUUUGUAAUACUUUCUGUUUCAAGCAUGGAACAUGGAUGUUUUUACAUAAAAUUGUUCGUUUUUAUAACUACAUUUGCUGUUAUAUUGCAAGAUUUUCAAGCGGACUGUAGAGGUGGCGGGCGUGGUGGUAGAUAUAGGGGGGGGGAGCAGGAGGUUCAAGUGGGUCAAGUGGUUCUGGAGAUGGGACAUGGUGGAUCGUACUUGCCGUGAUUGGAGGAGUUUUUGUUCUUAUUGGACUUCUUGUUGUCAUAAUUUAUUGUCACAAAAAACGCUGAUACUUGCAGAAAAGACGCUGAAUAUAGCGAUAAUUUUCUGAUCUAUUCCAUCCCUUAUGAUGCUUGAUUAAUUAAAUACCUUUGUGCCAGGUCAACAUGUUAUACGAUUACAACGAAAGAAUCACAACAAAAGUGACUUGCAUCAUCUUAAAAUCGAAUCUAGAUCCAUCCAGCCGGACGGUUAUUUGCCAUAAGCAGUCCCAAGGUCGUGCAAUAUUAAAUUGUGACGUAAAUGUUAGAAUUUUCAAUUAAUUGAAGUUUUAAUAAAUAUAUCAAUAUGCAUUA